GGGGCCUGGGACUGCGCAGCGUGGUCGUCUCCCUGGCAGGGAGAAAUUCAGGCGGGUGCGACUCCCGCAGGCUCCACCA
RNAcentral lists this transfer RNA (79 nucleotides) under Lacunisphaera sp. RNAcentral's name for it is "tRNA-Ala". Lineage: Bacteria; Pseudomonadati; Verrucomicrobiota; Opitutia; Opitutales; Opitutaceae. The record is from RNAcentral.